This 407-nucleotide ribosomal RNA is filed under the name Artemia franciscana. RNAcentral's name for it is "partial 16S ribosomal RNA". It matches the Rfam family "Bacterial large subunit ribosomal RNA", at positions 1949 to 2576 of the family's 2925-position model. Lineage: Eukaryota; Metazoa; Arthropoda; Branchiopoda; Anostraca; Artemiidae. The record is from RNAcentral.
UGCGAAGGUAGCAUAAUCAUUAGCCUUUUGAUUUGAGGCUGGAAUGAAUGGUUUGACGAGAGAUGGCCUGUCUCUUCGAUUAAAUUGAAGUUAAUCUUUAAGUGAAAAAGCUUAAAUGUACUUGGAGGGCGAUAAGACCCUAUAGAUCUUUACAUUUAAUUCUUUUGUCUUGCGGUAGGUAAUUAGACAGAGUAAAAUAAUGUUCGGUUGGGGCGACGGUAAGAACAGAAUAAACACUUACAACAUAAACACAUCAAUAAAUGACCAUUGAUCCUUAGAUGAAUAAAGACCAAGUUACCUUAGGGAUAACAGCGUAAUUCUUUUUGAGAGUUCAAAUCGACAAAAGAGUUUGCGACCUCGAUGUUGGUUCAGGGACCCUACUCGGUGCAGCAGCCUAGAGAGGCAGU